Molecule: ribosomal RNA, 662 nt
Filed under: uncultured bacterium
Lineage: Bacteria
Description: bacterial SSU rRNA
Rfam family: Bacterial small subunit ribosomal RNA
Source: RNAcentral
UAACGCGUGAAGUUGACCGCCUGGGGAGUACGAUCGCAAGAUUAAAACUCAAAUGAAUUGACGGGGGCCCGCACAAGCGGUGGAUUAUGUGGAUUAAUUCGAUGCAACGCGAAAAACCUUACCUGGCCUUGACAUGUACCGAAUUUGCUAGAGAUAGCUUAGUGCUCGAAAGAGAACGGUAACACAGGUGCUGCAUGGCUGUCGUCAGCUCGUGUCGUGAGAUGUCGGGUUAAGUCCCGCAACGAGCGCAACCCUUGCCAAUAAUUGCCAUCAUUUAGUUGGGCACUUUAUUGGGACUGCCGAUGACAAAUCGGAGGAAGGUGGGGAUGACGUCAAGUCCUCAUGGCCCUUAUGGCCAGGGCUUCACACGUAAUACAAUGGUCGGUACAGAGAGUUGCCAACCCGUAAGGGGGAGCUAAUCUCAGAAAGCCGAUCGUAGUCCGGAUUGAGGUCUGCAACUCGACCUCAUGAAGUCGGAAUCGCUAGUAAUCGCGGAUCAGCAUGUCGCGGUGAAUACGUUCCCGGGCCUUGUACACACCGCCCGUCACACCAUGGGAGUGGGUUUUACCAGAAGUAGGUAGUCUAACCGUAAGGGGGACGCUUACCACGGUAGUAUUCAUGACUGGGGUGAAGUCGUAACAAGGUAACCAAUCUCUAGAGGA